Non-coding RNA from Podarcis lilfordi (Lilford's wall lizard), 69 nucleotides. NCBI's taxonomy places the organism in Eukaryota, Metazoa, Chordata, Lepidosauria, Squamata, Lacertidae. The record is from the annotation of a GenBank genome assembly.
GCCAUAGCUCAGUGGUAGAACAUCUGCUUUGCUGGUAGAAGAUCUCAGGUUCAAUCCCCAAUAUCUCCA